RNAcentral lists this long non-coding RNA (255 nucleotides) under Ananas comosus (pineapple). RNAcentral's name for it is "long non-coding RNA (ACOM_LNC041964)". Lineage: Eukaryota; Viridiplantae; Streptophyta; Magnoliopsida; Poales; Bromeliaceae. The record is from RNAcentral.
AGUGGUAGGGAGUCCAAUUCGGAUUUGAAAUUAUGUUUUUUUUAGAUUUACACAUUGGUAUACGUGUGAGGUAUGGAUUAGUUGGAGAGCGGAUGGAUUUCGUCGCGAAUCCGUGGCAUAACGGAGUGAAACAAAAAUUGUAGUUUUGAUGUUCCCAUCGUGCUGAACGCGAUGGCGCAGUCGGAUCGAAAAUCCGACGGACGGAUUUCCGGUAACUGCAUAGUUUUCGCUAAGAUGUCGAAGGUGGCAAUUCGG